RNAcentral lists this non-coding RNA (117 nucleotides) under Caloramator mitchellensis. RNAcentral's name for it is "MoCo sequence". It matches the Rfam family "Molybdenum/Tungsten riboswitch aptamer (Moco RNA motif)". The record is from Rfam by way of RNAcentral. Lineage: Bacteria; Bacillati; Bacillota; Clostridia; Eubacteriales; Clostridiaceae.
UUUAACAAUAUUCUCCGAGUUCAUAAUCCUAAGGCACAGCUAUGGAUUAUGAACCGAUAGGGUAGAAUUGGAAACGGUUCUGCCUCCCGAUGGAAAGGAGAAGCUGAGCAAUAGUAU